GACGAACGCUGGCGGCGUGCUUAACACAUGCAAGUCGAACGGAAAGGCCCUGCUUUUGUGGGGUGCUCGAGUGGCGAACGGGUGAGUAACACGUGAGUAACCUGCCCUUGACUUUGGGAUAACUUCAGGAAACUGGGGCUAAUACCGGAUAGGAGCUCCUGCUGCAUGGUGGGGGUUGGAAAGUUUCGGCGGUUGGGGAUGGACUCGCGGCUUAUCAGCUUGUUGGCGGGGUAGUGGCUUACCAAGGCUUUGACGGGUAGCCGGCCUGAGAGGGUGACCGGCCACAUUGGGACUGAGAUACGGCCCAGACUCCUACGGGAGGCAGCAGUGGUGAAUAUUGCACAAUGGGCGGAAGCCUGAUGUAGCAACGCCGCGUGCGGGAUGACGGCCUUCGGGUUGUAAACCGCUUUCGCCUGUGACGAAGCGUGAGUGACGGUAAUGGGUAAAGAAGCACCGGCUAACUACGUG
RNAcentral lists this ribosomal RNA (468 nucleotides) under uncultured bacterium. RNAcentral describes it as "partial 16S ribosomal RNA". It matches the Rfam family "Bacterial small subunit ribosomal RNA", at positions 28 to 507 of the family's 1533-position model. The record is from RNAcentral.